CCUACGGGGGGCAGCAGUGAGGAAUAUUGGUCAAUGGACGCAAGCCUGAACCAGCCAUGUCGCGUGCAGGAUGACGGCCCUACGAGUUGUAAACUUCUUUUGUACGAGGGUAAACUCAGACACGUGUGCCUUUUUGUAAGUACUUUAUGAAUAAGGAUCGGCUAACUCCGUGCCAGCAGCCGCGGUAAUACGGAGGAUUCAAGCGUUAUCCGGAUUUAUUGGGUUUAAAGGGAGCGUAGGCGGUCGGUUAAGUCAGUGGUGAAAGUUGGAGGCUCAACCUCGGAAUUGCAUUUGAAACUGGUAGGCUGGAGGAUAGUAGCGGUAGGCGGAAUGUGUGGUGUAGCGGUGAAAUGCUUAGAGAUCAUGAAGAACGCCGAUUGCGAAGGCAGUUUACCGGACUGCAACUGACACUGAGGCUCGAAAGCGUGGGUAGCAAACAGGAUUAGAUACCCGGGUAGUC
This 460-nucleotide ribosomal RNA is filed under the name uncultured bacterium. RNAcentral describes it as "partial 16S ribosomal RNA". It matches the Rfam family "Bacterial small subunit ribosomal RNA", at positions 338 to 795 of the family's 1533-position model. The record is from RNAcentral.